AACGAACGCUGGCGGCAUGCCUAACACAUGCAAGUCGAACGAGACCUUCGGGUCUAGUGGCGCACGGGUGCGUAACGCGUGGGAACCUGCCCUUAGGUUCGGAAUAACUCCCCGAAAGGGGUGCUAAUACCGGAUAAUGUCUUCGGACCAAAGAUUUAUCGCCUUUGGAUGGGCCCGCGUUGGAUUAGCUAGUUGGUAGGGUAAAAGCCUACCAAGGCGACGAUCCAUAGCUGGUCUGAGAGGAUAAUCAGCCACACUGGGACUGAGACACGGCCCAGACUCCUACGGGAGGCAGCAGUGGGGAAUAUUGGACAAUGGGCGAAAGCCUGAUCCAGCAAUGACACGUGAGUGAUGAAGGCCUUAGGGUUGUAAAGCUCUUUUACCCGGGAUGAUAAUGACAGUACCGGGAGAAUAAGCUCCGGCUAACUCCGUG
Molecule: ribosomal RNA, 433 nt
Filed under: uncultured bacterium
Lineage: Bacteria
Description: partial 16S ribosomal RNA
Rfam family: Bacterial small subunit ribosomal RNA
Source: RNAcentral